CUACCCGGGUAUCUAAUCCUGUUUGAUCCCCACGCUUUCGUGCCUCAGCGUCAAUCUUCGUUUAGCCUGCUGCCUUCGCAAUAGGUGUUCUAUGUCAUCUCUAAGCAUUUCACCGCUACAUGACAUAUUCCGCAAACCUCAACGAUAUUCAAGAUAGAUAGUAUCAACGGCAAUUUCCGGGUUAAGCCCGAAGAUUUCACCACUGACUUACCUACCCGCCUACGCACCCUUUAAACCCAGUAAAUCCGGAUAACGCUUGCACCCUCCGUAUUACCGCGGCUGCUGGCAC
This 289-nucleotide ribosomal RNA is filed under the name uncultured Chitinophagaceae bacterium. RNAcentral describes it as "partial 16S ribosomal RNA". The record is from RNAcentral. Lineage: Bacteria; Pseudomonadati; Bacteroidota; Chitinophagia; Chitinophagales; Chitinophagaceae.